UGGGGAAUAUUGCACAAUGGGCGCAAGCCUGAUGCAGCCAUGCCGCGUGUAUGAAGAAGGCCUUCGGGUUGUAAAGUACUUUCAGCGGGGAGGAAGGGAGUAAAGUUAAUACCUUUGCUCAUUGACGUUACCCGCAGAAGAAGCACCGGCUAACUCCGUGCCAGCAGCCGCGGUAAUACGGAGGGUGCAAGCGUUAAUCGGAAUUACUGGGCGUAAAGCGCACGCAGGCGGUUUGUUAAGUCAGAUGUGAAAUCCCCGGGCUCAACCUGGGAACUGCAUCUGAUACUGUCAAGCUUGAGUCUCGUAGAGGGGGGUAGAAGUCCAGGUGUAGCGGUGAAAUGCGUAGAGAUCUGGAGGAAUACCGGUGGCGAAGGCGGCCCCCUGGACGAAGACUGACGCUCAGGUGCGAAAGCGGGGGGAGCAAACAGG
RNAcentral lists this ribosomal RNA (429 nucleotides) under Chloroflexota bacterium. RNAcentral's name for it is "Chloroflexi bacterium partial 16S ribosomal RNA". It matches the Rfam family "Bacterial small subunit ribosomal RNA", at positions 355 to 776 of the family's 1533-position model. Lineage: Bacteria; Bacillati; Chloroflexota. The record is from RNAcentral.